GGAGGGGACCUGACCCAGCUGAGGGGGGAGAAGGUGGAGGAGACACUUGGGCUGAGUCUUACAUGUGUUGGAGGUAGCCAGGUGAGGAGAGUAGCUGGGGAGAGGGACAUCCUGGAAAAAGACUGUGAACAGAAGAAUGGACACCAACCGCGGAAUGAACCCGUCAAGCAGAUUCAGUGCUUUCUCUCUCUCUCAGCUCACUUGCUCUAGGGGAAGCAGGUUCCAUGCUGUGAGUGUCCGCAUGAAAGGACCACAUGCUGAAGACCGGAGAUUCUCAGCCUAGCCCAUCAACACCCACUCGCCCAAGCUUGGAAACAGAUCCCUCAGCCCCAGGCAAGUCUUUGUGAUGACCAGAGUCCUGAUCAGUAGCUUGGCUGCAACCUCCUGAAAGAUCUGGAACCAGAGGCCCCCAACUAAGCUGUUCGUAGAUUUGUGACCUAGAGAAAGAGUGAGAUGAUAAUGUUUUCAGCUUCUAA
Molecule: long non-coding RNA, 476 nt
Organism: Canis lupus familiaris (dog)
Lineage: Eukaryota; Metazoa; Chordata; Mammalia; Carnivora; Canidae
Exons: 2
Source: RefSeq, a predicted model, not a curated record